Molecule: ribosomal RNA, 780 nt
Filed under: uncultured Doratomyces
Lineage: Eukaryota; Fungi; Ascomycota; Sordariomycetes; Microascales
Description: eukaryotic LSU rRNA
Rfam family: Eukaryotic large subunit ribosomal RNA
Source: RNAcentral
UCCCCGGGGGUGUCUAAUAUGCGCCCAAUUCCCAAUUUGCACACCCGUCCAUGGGGACAUAUAAGCGCGUGAAAAGACCCCCACGGGGUUCACCUCAGUAACGGCGAGUGAAGCGGUACCAGCUCAAAUUUGAAAUCUGGUCCCCUCUGGGGGCCCGAGUUGUAAUUUGAAGAGGAUGCUUUUGGCGAGGCGCCUUCCGAGUGCCCUGGAACGGGACGCCACAGAGGGUGAGAGCCCCGUAUGGUAGGACGCCGAGCCUCUGUAAAGCUCCUUCGACGAGUCGAGUAGUUUGGGAAUGCUGCUCAAAAUGGGAGGUAAACCCCUUCUAAAGCUAAAUAUUGGCCAGAGACCGAUAGCGCGCAAGUAGAGUGAUCGAAAGAUGAAAAGCACUUUGAAAAGAGAGCUAAACAGCACGUGAAAUUGUUGAAAGGGAAGCGCUUGCGACCAGGCUUGCGCCCGUCGGAUCAACCGUCCCUCGUGGGCGGCGCACUCCGGCGGGCUCAGGCCAGCAUCAGUUUUCCUGGGGGGAGAAAGGCGGUGGGAAUGUAGCUCUUCGGAGUGUUAUAGCCCGCCGCGUAAUACCCCCGGGGGGACUGAGGACCGCGCGAAAGCAAGGAUGCUGGCGUAAUGGUCGUCAGCGACCCGUCUUGAAACACGGACCAAGGAGUCGUCCUAAUAUGCGAGUGUACGGGUGUAAAACCCCUGCGCGUAAUGAAAGUGAACGGAGGUGAGAGCUUCGGCGCAUCAUCGACCGAUCCUGAUGUUCUCGGAUGGAUUUGA